Molecule: long non-coding RNA, 425 nt
Organism: Eurytemora carolleeae
Lineage: Eukaryota; Metazoa; Arthropoda; Copepoda; Calanoida; Temoridae
Exons: 4
Source: RefSeq, a predicted model, not a curated record
AAAUAAACUGUACACUGUCCAGGAGUCUCUGGUUUCUGAGUACCACUAUGAGGAGAGCCUAGAUGAGGAACGAGCAAGAAAUCUUCUUUCUUUUGGAGACGAUUACAGGAAUUACAUCUCCAGCUUGUCCAGCAGCCAGAGCAGUAUUUCAAGCAGAACUCAGAGAAGAAGAAGAAAAAAACAAAGGGGAGCAGUACGCGGUACAGGAUCUGGGUCUGAUACAGAGUACAGCGAGGUGUACAGUGUACUGAACGAGAGUGGGAGAGAGUACAGUACAGUAGAGAGUAGAACAUGUGAACUACAUUGUACUGGAUACCUUCAUCAAACACAGUACAUACAAUAUGCUGAACUAGUAUCUAUAUGUGGAGAGAAUAUUAAUAUGCUGGUAGAACUCAUCCAAUCUAUUAUUAUAGGCUGAACUAGUA